This 603-nucleotide ribosomal RNA is filed under the name Triticum aestivum (bread wheat). RNAcentral's name for it is "partial small subunit ribosomal RNA". The record is from RNAcentral. Lineage: Eukaryota; Viridiplantae; Streptophyta; Magnoliopsida; Poales; Poaceae.
AUGGACCAGUUCGAGGGAGAGAGCUGGCGGCCGGAGAACAGGGAGGGUAGUAUCUUCUUCCCGACGGAGAGCUGGAGGCGUGGUGAGCCAGAGUUGCGGCCUGAGGUCGGUCGCUAUGUGCUGAGGCGCACGGCUGGGAUGUACCGGCUAGAGGAGAAGCUAUGCGGUCGUGUGCUGGUGGGUACGGUGGAAGGGAACCGGCCUCCCGUGUCGCCGGCACAGGUGGUUGCUGCUUUGGAGGCGCAAUGCGGCGUCUGCCGCGACGACGUCAUGGUUGAGGUAUGUUCGCCUCCGGCAGAUUUUCUUAUACGGUUUCGGUCCGGCGAGGACUGCACUCGCGUGCUCAUCUACCACUCCCGCAAGCUUACCGUCGGCGGAGAGACAAUCCAGUUUAGUCGCUGGCAUCAUGGGAAGUGUGGCGAUGAGUCGUCUAUGAAGUUUUUGACAAGGUUGAGCUUUGAUGGGCUCCCGCAAGAGGCAUGGGAGGUCGAGUUCGUUACCAACCUUGUUAGCAGUCUCGACAGCGAUCUCGUUAAGACGUUGAAGCCCACUGAUCGGUGCUUCGUCGUUGUUGAAGCGUGGAUGAAGAACCCAAACAAAUAG